Molecule: ribosomal RNA, 216 nt
Filed under: Glomeromycotina sp.
Lineage: Eukaryota; Fungi; Glomeromycota
Description: partial small subunit ribosomal RNA
Rfam family: Eukaryotic small subunit ribosomal RNA (bases 75-216)
Source: RNAcentral
GGGUCAGUAGGUUGGUCGUGCCACCGGUACGUACUGGUCCCACUGAUUCCUCCUUCCUGAAGAACCGUAACGCCAUUAAUUUGGUGUUGCGGGGAAACAGGACUGUUACUUUGAAAAAAUUAGAGUGUUUAAAGCAAGCUAACGCUUGAAUACAUUAGCAUGGAAUAAUGAAAUAGGACGAUCGAUCCUAUUUUGUUGGUUUCUAGGAUUGACGUA